This 229-nucleotide unclassified non-coding RNA is filed under the name Hevea brasiliensis (rubber tree). Lineage: Eukaryota; Viridiplantae; Streptophyta; Magnoliopsida; Malpighiales; Euphorbiaceae. The record is from RNAcentral.
AUGCUGCUGCUGCUGCUGCUGCUUAUUAUUGUUGCUAUUAUUUUGCAAUUCCUGUAACAGCAUCAUUACAUGGACACCUUUAACAUGAUGUAGUUAAAUUUUUUUCUACCUCAAAUCCUUGGCUGCAUCUUUUAGCCUUAGAACUAACACUUAGUUUUGUUGAUUCUGUCAAGUUACAAUUCAAUUACUUUUAACCAAACUUGAUUAGCCCAGUUUAUCGGACGCAGGU